GACGAACGCUGGCGGCGUGCCUAAUACAUGCAAGUAGAACGCUGAAGGAGGAGCUUGCUUCUCUGGAUGAGUUGCGAACGGGUGAGUAACGCGUAGGUAACCUGCCUGGUAGCGGGGGAUAACUAUUGGAAACGAUAGCUAAUACCGCAUAAGAGUAGAUGUUGCAUGACAUUUGCUUAAAAGGUGCAAUUGCAUCACUACCAGAUGGACCUGCGUUGUAUUAGCUAAUUGGUGGGGUAACGGCUCACCAAGGCGACGAUACAUAGCCGACCUGAGAGGGUGAUCGGCCACACUGGGACUGAGACACGGCCCAGACUCCUACGGGAGGCAGCAGUAGGGAAUCUUCGGCAAUGGACGGAAGUCUGACCGAGCAACGCCGCGUGAGUGAAGAAGGUUUUCGGAUCGUAAAGCUCUGUUGUAAGAGAAGAACGAGUGUGAGAGUGGAAAGUUCACACUGUGACGGUAUCUUACCAGAAAGGGACGGCUAACUACGUG
This 495-nucleotide ribosomal RNA is filed under the name uncultured bacterium. RNAcentral describes it as "partial 16S ribosomal RNA". It matches the Rfam family "Bacterial small subunit ribosomal RNA", at positions 28 to 507 of the family's 1533-position model. The record is from RNAcentral.